GUGGCGAACGGGUGAGUAACACGUUGGUGACCUGCCCUGAGGAGGGGAAUAACCGUGGGAAACCACGGCUAAUACCCCGGAUGUCUAAGCUGUUAGAGGGCUUAGACUAAAGCCCCUGCAAGGGGUGCGCCUCGGGAGGGGCCUGCGGGCUGUCAGCUUGUUGGUGGGGUAAUGGCUUACCAAGGCGAAGACGGCUAGGGGGCGUGAGAGCGCGACCCCCCACAAUGGAACUGAGACACGGUCCAUACUCCUACGGGAGGCAGCAGUGAGGAAUAUUGCGCAAUGGGGGCAACCCUGACGCAGCAACGCCGCGUGGACGAUGAAGGCCUUCGGGUUGUAAAGUCCUUUUCUGAAGGAAGAUAGUGACGGUACUUCAGGAAUAAGUCCCGGCUAACUACGUGCCAGCAGCCGCGGUAAAACGUAGGGGGCGAGCGUUAUCCGGAUUUACUGGGCGUAAAGCGCACGUAGGCGGCAUCGUAAGUUGGACGUGAAAGCUCCCGGCUCAACUGGGAGAGGUCGUUCAAAACUGUGGUGCUUGAGGUUGAUAGAGGAGAGUGGAAUUCCCGGUGUAGUGGUGGAAUGCGUAGAUAUCGGGAGGAACACCAGUGGCGAAGGCGGCUCUCUAGGUCACACCUGACGCUGAGGUGCGAAAGCGUGGGGAGCGAACGGGAUUAGAUACCCCGGUAGUCCACGCUGUAAACGAUGGAUACUAGGUGUGGGAGGUUAUUUACCCCUUCUGUGCCGUAGCUAACGCGUUAAGUAUCCCGCCUGGGGACUACGGCCGCAAGGUUAAAACUCAAAGGAAUUGACGGGGGCCCGCACAAGCAGCGGAGCGUGUGGUUUAAUUCGAUGAUACGCGAAGAACCUUACCUGGGCUUGACAUGGUGGUAGUAGUGAAGCGAAAGCGGAACGACCCUUCGGGGAGCCAUCACAGGUGCUGCAUGGCUGUCGUCAGCUCGUGU
RNAcentral lists this ribosomal RNA (962 nucleotides) under uncultured organism. RNAcentral describes it as "bacterial SSU rRNA". It matches the Rfam family "Bacterial small subunit ribosomal RNA", at positions 95 to 1065 of the family's 1533-position model. The record is from RNAcentral.